Molecule: long non-coding RNA, 191 nt
Organism: Oxyura jamaicensis (ruddy duck)
Lineage: Eukaryota; Metazoa; Chordata; Aves; Anseriformes; Anatidae
Exons: 3
Source: RefSeq, a predicted model, not a curated record
AAUAGAAAGCAAAUUGCCAUGACCUAUUACUGCAGAGAAAAGGUCUAUUUCUAAUCCGUGCACUUUUUCAACAGAGGUAUUUCCAGCUAAUCUCCGACAGUAACCCACUUAGGCAAAGCUUCGUGCAAAAGCAGCAUCACUGCCAGCUGCUGACGGCUCCUCAUCAUCAGCGGGACAGAGCAGCUCCCACC